UUACAGGUAGUGGCGGAAGGGCAUGAGAUGGAUGAACCAUCAAGUUGUUUUGUUUACAAGUCUGCAUAUGUUUAUAUUUGUUAUAUGACUUGUAAUGUAUUCGUUUAUGCUUAUUGGUCUGUAUCGGAACAUGACACCCCGAGUUUUGAUUAUAAUGAAAAUACAUUUCUUUUAUGAAAUGCUUCGGUAAACAAUGUUUUAUCAUGUUUUGUUUUUGGGAACAAAUUCCGCAACUCUUUCAAAUCAAAAGGAUUUACUCUGAAAAUAUUUAAAAGCAUAAAUGAAAAUCGGUCUUUUCUGGCCGAGAUUUUGGGGAUGUCACAGUUGGUAUCAGAGCAUUAGUUUAAGCGAACUAGGAAUUUGUAGGAUUUCUAGACUUAAACUUAGAAUGCUAAGUGAAGUUUUGAGAUGUGUGUCUGUUGUGAUUUAGACACGAGCACUAGUUUAUUUUAGGAAAGUUGCCUAAAAUGCUUUAUGUGCUAAAUGUUAUAUGUUGCCAUAUAUGAUAUUAUUUGUUCGGAUCUAUGGUCUGUUGCCGACCGGAUCUAGAAACCUUAUGUGUGUAGGAUUCUAAGCGUACGUCUACGAUAUUAGAACUAGCAUGUAAACGUUUCGGAGUGAUAAGGAUGAUUUGAAUAUCUAUCAUGAUUGAGGAUCUAAUUUCACCUUAUUCGGUGUAGAUCAAAAUGGUGAGAACAAGAAGUGGAGUUGGAAAUGCUGACGAAAACAGGAAUCAACCACCAGUGAUUGAGCCAAUACCUGUCGUAGCAGCAGCACCUGAGCCAAUAACCAUGGCUGGUGUGCAAUUGAUGAUUCAGACGAUGUUGGAUCGUCAGAUGGAUGAAACUAGACGGUUGCUUCAACAAAAUCGUGAAGAACUGUCGAUUCGUGUGGAAGAGCCUGAACUGAAUGAAGGGCACUCGGAAGGUGGAAACUUCAGUGGGUCUGUUGGUCCAGCCAACCCACCGAUAGUUAGGCAAGAUAACCAUGAUGGAAGGAAUGAUGGAAUGGGAUGCAAGUACAAGGACUUUUUGACUUGUAAACCAUCGACCUUCAAUGGAAAGGAGGAUCCGAUUGGGGUUAUGGAUUGGAUCUCCGAAAUGGAGUUAGCCUUUAUGACAUGUGGCUGUAGAGGCAAGUUGCAGACUAUCUAUGCCGUGCGACAAUUCCGAGGUGGAGCCGUUCGUUGGUGGAACACUCUAGGGAAGACCUUAAGCCCUAAUGAGCCACUGCAAUUGUCAUGGGCAGAGUUCUUGGUGCAGUUCAAGCGCAAGUUCUGCUCGGCUCAAAAUCUGUUGGAGUUGGAGAACAAGUUUUUGACAUUGACGAAGGGUAGCAUGUCAGUGGAUGAGUACACCAAUAACUUCACCGAUAAGAUGGAGUUUGCCUUGCGUAUCGUUCCAGACGAGCUGACAAAGGUGGAUCGGUAUGCGAAGGGACUUCCAUGGGAGUACGAGGUGCCGGUACGUCAGGCACUUACUCUAGAGGCAGCUAUCUGGGCUGCCAAGUCUGUGGAGAACAUGAUCAAGGGGAGAACCACCGUCAAGGUUGAGGUUGGUGAGAAAAGGAAGUUUGAAGGAACAUCUGGUUCCAGUAAGAAGAGCAAAUUUUCGAAAUCUGAUUCGAAAAAGUUUGGAGGAAAAGGAGGCGAAGCAAAGUGGUGUGAUAAGUGUAAGAAAAAGCACUUUGGGAAAUGUAGCGAGGAUGUGACCUGCUACAAGUGUGGAAAGGUUGGACAUUUUGCCAAUGAAUGUCCGAACAACAAAAGGAUGUGUUUUGGGUGUAAUGAAGAGGGGCAUAUUUUGAAAGACUGUCCGAAGAAGAAGGAGGCAGCUAGGCCCAACAUUCCACCAAAGCCGAAGGCGAGAGCCUUCCAGAUGACACUUGAGGCUGCGAAAGAUGAAGCUGAUGUCGCUUCAGGUACCUUUCUCGUAAACGAAUUACCUGCUCAUAUAUUGUUUGAUUCUGGAGCCAACUACUCCUUUAUUUCGCAUGAGUUUGGUAGAAAGCUAGCUUUGCCUGUUGAUAGACUAGAUAAUGCUUUAUUAGUCGAAGUAGCUAGUGGCAAGUUUGUACCUGUUAGCCAUCGUAUGAAAAACGUCUUGAUCGACCUUAAUGGGAAUAAGUUUCUCGAGGAAUUAUUGCCUAUCGAACUAAAUGGUUUCGACAUCGUCUUGGGAAUGGAUUGGCUUAGCGCCAAUGAUGCCGAAAUUUUGUGCAAGAAGAAGAUAGUUAAAGUAAACCCGCCUGGGAAAGAUUCGUUUAUGGUGUAUGGGGACAAACGCAGAGUGAAUUCUGGAAUCAUUUCUCUAAUGAAAGCCAGAAAGUGUUUGACCAAGGGAUGUACAUCAUAUUUAGCAUUCGUGAUUGAUGCUAAGAAAGAAAAGAAGGUGAUGCAGAGCAUUCCAGUGGUGUGUGAUUAUCCGGAAGUAUUUCCCGAGGAUCUUCCUGGAUUACCACCUGAUAGACAAGUGGAGUUCAGAAUAGACUUGUUACCAGGAACCACGCCAAUAGCAAAAGCACCUUAUCGAUUAGCACCGACGGAGAUGAAGGAGCUGAUGAUGCAACUUCAGGAGUUAUUGGACAAAGGUUUCAUUAGACCUAGUUCAUCGCCCUGGGGAGCUCCGGUGUUAUUUGUAAAGAAGAAAGAUGGAAGUAUGAGAAUGUGCAUCGAUUACAGAGAGCUGAACAAGGCAACAAUAAAGAAUAGAUAUCCGUUGCCGAGGAUUGAUGACCUGUUUGAUCAAUUGCAAGGUUCGAGCUAUUUCUCGAAGAUCGAUCUUAGGUCAGGAUAUCAUCAGCUGAAAGUAAGAGAGCAAGAUAUCGAGAAGACUGCAUUCAGAACUAGAUAUGGACACUACGAGUUCUUGGUUAUGUCGUUUGGACUAACCAAUGCUCCAGCAGCGUUCAUGGAUUUGAUGAAUAGGGUUUGUAAUCCUUUCCUUGAUAAAUCCGUGAUAGUGUUCAUAGACGACAUUCUGAUCUACUCGAAAAGCCAGGAGGAGCAUGGCAGACACUUGCGAGAAGUGUUAGAAGUUUUGAAGAAGGAGAAGCUUUAUGCGAAGUUCUCCAAAUGUGAUUUUUGGAUUCGUGAGGUCCAAUUCUUGGGUCACGUGGUCAACCAAGAAGGGAUAAUGGUUGAUCCAGCGAAGAUCGAAGCUGUGACGAAGUGGGAACAACCGAAAAGUCCCACGGAGAUUCGAAGCUUUUUAGGAUUAGCCGGAUAUUACCGAAGGUUUAUCCAAGGCUUUUCUUCGAUUGCUACUCCAUUAACAGCUUUGACCCACAAAGGAGCUACUUAUGCUUGGAGUGAGAAGCAUAAAGAAGCAUUCGAGAAGUUAAAGAAGAAGCUAUGCGAGGCACCGAUACUUUCUCUACCCGAUGGAGUUGAAGACUUCGCUGUUUAUAGCGAUGCGUCUGGUGUUGGAUUGGGUUGUGUUUUGACCCAAAGAGAAAAGGUGAUAGCAUAUGCGUCUCGACAGCUGAAAGAGCAUGAAAAGAAUUACCCGACUCAUGAUUUGGAGUUGGCAGCGGUAGUUUUCGCUCUGAAAAUAUGGAGGCAUUACCUCUAUGGCACGAAGUGCAAACUUUUCACUGAUCAUAAGAGUCUCCAAUACCUCUUUAAUCAGAAAGAAUUGAAUAUGAGGCAACGACGCUGGCUAGAAUUACUUAAAGACUACGACUGCGAGAUACUUUACCACCCCGGUAAAGCUAAUGUUGUUGCUGAUGCUCUCAGUCGGAAAGUCAAUCUUGAAAGGAAGAGGCCAAGAGCGUUGAGAAUUGAAGUUGUCUCGACUAUUGUGGAAAGUAUAAAGAAAGCUCAAGAGGAAGCUUCUGAGAAAAAUGACCGAAAGGAGGAACGUUUGGGUAAAACGUUGGUGUUUGGUACUAACGGUCAUGGACUGAAGGUAUUCCAAGAUCGUAUUUGGGUACCUAAGUCAGGAGGAAUUAGGGAUCUUCUGAUGGAAGAAGCUCACAAAACCAUGUACUCAAUUCAUCCGGGUAGCACUAAAAUGUAUAGGGACCUGAAACCCUACUACUGGUGGCCGACGAUGAAGCUUGAUGUUGCAAAGUAUGUGGCCGAGUGUGUGACUUGUGCGAGAGUCAAGACACAACAUCAGAAACCUUACGGGAGUUUAGAACCAUUGCCUGUGCCUAUGGGUAAGUGGGAAGACAUUGCUAUGGAUUUUGUCACUAAACUGCCCAGAACAAAGAAUGGUCACGACAUGAUUUGGGUGGUCGUUGAUCGAUUCACUAAGAGUGCGCAUUUCAUAGCGGCCAGGGAGAAAUGGUCUAUGGAAAAGCUUGCGAAUUCUUACGUGAAGGAAAUUGUGAGGCUUCACGGUGUUCCGUUAACGAUUGUAUCGGAUCGUGAUAGCCGUUUCACCUCAAGGUUUUGGAAAAGUCUACAAGAGGAAAUGGGUACCAAGUUAUGUUUAAGCACAGCUUACCAUCCGCAGACUGAUGGUCAGAGUGAAAGAACAAUACAAACACUUGAAGAUAUGCUGAGAGCAUGUACCUUGGAAUUCCUAGGUAAUUGGGAUGAACAUUUACCGUUGGUAGAAUUUUCCUAUAAUAAUAGUUUUCACUCGAGCAUUAAGAUGGCACCUUAUCAAGCUUUGUAUGGACAGAAGUGUCGUACGCCGUCUUGUUGGCUUGAGGCUGGGGAAAAGCAGUUUAUGGGACCGGAGAUGGUUCAUCAAACUGCUGAAAAGUUGAAAAUAAUUAGGGAAAGAAUGUUAGCAGCUCAAGAUCGUCAAAAGAGCUAUGCUGACAAGAAGCGAAGACCGAUGACUUUUGAGGUUGGAGAUUCGGUUUUGCUUAAAGUCUCGCCGUGGAAGGGACUUAUAAGAUUUGGUAAAAGGGGAAAGUUGAGUCCAAGGUUUAUUGGACCGUUUAAAGUCCUUCAGAGGAUUGGGAAUCAAGCUUACAAGCUCGAAUUACCCGAAGAACUGAAUGGAAUUCACAACACCUUUCAUGUGUGUUAUUUGAGGAAGUUCACGGGAGAAGUUCCCGAUAUAAUUCCAAUUUCUGAAUUGAGAAUUGAUGAGAACAAAAGGUUGAUUGAAGAACCAGAGGCAAUUGUUGACCGAAAGACUAAGAAGUUGCGACGCAAAAUGGUUGGGUUAGUGCUUGUCCGAUGGAAACACACGAAUGGGCCGAAUCUCACCUGGGAGACGGAGAGUGACAUGUUGAGUCGCUAUCCGCAUUUGUUUGUUGAUGUGUGAUUCCGGGGACGGAAUCAUUCUAAGGUGGAGAGAAUUGUAACGCCUGUGUUUCCGGGCUUGCCAUUUUUAGCAAUGUAAUAGUCUAGGUUAACCUUUGUAACCCGUUUUGAAAUAAUAAGAUUGUAUUAUUUGAGUAUUAUGUGUUUUGUGCUUAAUUGCUUAAUUAUGUGGUUUGAUUAAUUAAGAAUAAAAAUAAGCGUCAAAAUUUAAGUGUAAAAUAAACUUAAUAUCUUUGGUUAAUGUUGUAGUAGUUGAAACGAGGUUUCCGAAUAUAUAUAGAACGCCCAAAUCUGACUUCGUAUGAGGAAGUUAUGAUUUAUCGAAGUUCCGGCUUAGCGAUAUACAGCCUGUUUUACUCGAUUUGAGAUCGAGCGGUUGUUAGCCGAAGCAAUCUAAAUGAGAAUCGAAGAUCUCAUUGUUGGUAUUGAAACGAUAAAAAGUUAGGCGAGAACGGACGUCAAACGAAGAAGUUAUGAAUUUAUAACGAAAGUUUCUGUCCCGGCCUAUUAAAAAUAAUUAAUAAAAAUAAAGUCAAAAUUAGCCGACGGAGUCUAAACGAAAGUCGUAGAGCGUGGUCUCACCUUCGCGUGGAUAUAAAGAACGUCGAAAACGGAGUUCGUAUGAAGAAGUUAUGAAUUUCCGAAGUUUAUUAAUCAUUUUGUAUUUAUUUUUAAUUCAAAAUUCGGAAGCAUUAUCCGAAGGAGUCACCGAUCUGAUCCGAGGUACGCCCCGCGUACUCGAGUACGCCCCGCGUACUCCGAGGGAUGUCGACACUCGCACUCGAGCACUUCGGAUACGUAAGCAAUGACGUUUUGGGCAGUACGCCCCGCGUAACGCAGUACGCCCCGCGUACUCCGAGGCUCCAGCCUCCUAUAAAUAGGAUGCGAGGGUUCCGGGUAUUUUUGCCAAUUCCCUCUCGUUUUCGUGUCGAAGCUCUGUGCAAAAACCCCCGAAGCUACCCCGAAGUCCCGGUAUCAUACUCUAGCCCCGAGGCAAGUCCCGAGAUCCUGAAGAUCCCGAAAAGUGCGGUUCCCGAGUCGAAGCUCUGCCCGCGAGAAGUUCGAUUUUCGAGAAGAUCUUCCAGAUCUGCUGUGGAUUACUACUUCUAUAAGCCGUAGUGCUGUCCGAUCAUCUUCUGAUCAAGUGAGUGUGUAGUUAUUUCUUCUAAUACAAUAAUACGAAGUAUUUUAUAUAAAAAUACGUGCUAUGUGUAUAUAUUUGGUUGUGUUAUGUGUGAAUGAGUAUUCACUCUCUUCUAUCUUAUAGAUCUGCUUAUUUCUUUAUGAGAUAUGUGUUAUGUGUGUGUGUGCCUCAUCUGUUAUGUGAUAUAUGUGUUGAUUAAAGCAUGCUAUACAGGUUUUCUUUAAACUAUGUAUACAAAUGUAUAUUUUUAUCUACUAAUAUGUUGGGUAGAACAUGGGUAGACAGUUGGUGUGUAAUAAACAGAUGAGAGGCCUCGUUGUUGUUUGAUUGAGUCAUCUAGCGGAGUUUAGAUGACGACCACUGGCUAUUCUAGACAGUCUUGUGGAAACAUUAGCAGGUUCGCCACCUGUAGGUGUUAAUGAACUUGGGUGUUCAUUCGCUGUACUCCAUCCCCCUCAUGGUUGCCUUAUUUGACUUAUAUUGCUGAGGUACCCCCGAAGCAUGUGUUGUCGCCCCGAUGAAAUAUUCUUAGACUAGGUCCCUUGUGUUAGUUGUUUUAGGGACAUAAAGUGAGAAUAACGGGAAUGGGUAAUUGGGUUAUUGUUGGUUGGUGAAAAUUAAAUAUGAUUACUUAUUGUGGGUUGAAAACCCUAUAUGCUCACCAGGCUCCCAAGCCUGACCCACUCAGUUUUAUUUGUAUUACNUUAAAUAUGAUAUUUAUUGUGGGUUGAAAACCCUAUAUGCUCACCAGGCUCCCAAGCCCGACCCUCUUAGUUUUAAAUUGUAUUACAGGAAGUGGCGGAAGGGCAUGAGAUGGAUGAACCAUCAAGUUGUUUUGAUUACAAGUCUGCAUAUGUUUAUAUUUGUUGAAUGACUUGUAAUGUAUUCGUUUAUGCUUAUUGGUCUGUAUCGGAACAUGACACCCCGAGUUUUGAUUAUAAUGAAAAUACAUUUCUUUUAUGAAAUGCUUUGGUAAACAUUGUUUUAUCAUGUUU
This 7366-nucleotide long non-coding RNA is filed under the name Lactuca sativa (garden lettuce). Its description in RNAcentral is "long non-coding RNA (LSAT_LNC003895)". The record is from RNAcentral. Lineage: Eukaryota; Viridiplantae; Streptophyta; Magnoliopsida; Asterales; Asteraceae.